GGCAACCCUGAUCCAGCCAUGCCGCGUGUGUGAAGAAGGCCUUAGGGUUGUAAAGCACUUUCAGUAGGGAGGAAGGCCCAGUAGUUAAUACCUGCCGGGAUUGACGUUACCUACAGAAGCAGCACCGGCUAACUCCGUGCCAGCAGCCGCGGUAGUACGGAGGGUGCAAGCGUUAAUCGGAAUUACUGGGCGUAAAGCGCGCGUAGGCGGUUUGUUAAGUGAGAUGUGAAAGCCCAGGGCUCAACCUUGGAACUGCAUCUCAUACUGGCAGGCUAGAGUACGGUAUAUGUGGGUAGAAUUCCA
This 303-nucleotide ribosomal RNA is filed under the name uncultured Gammaproteobacteria bacterium. RNAcentral's name for it is "bacterial SSU rRNA". It matches the Rfam family "Bacterial small subunit ribosomal RNA", at positions 376 to 671 of the family's 1533-position model. The record is from RNAcentral. Lineage: Bacteria; Pseudomonadati; Pseudomonadota; Gammaproteobacteria.